AACAAUAUGUUUGCGGAUUAAAUAUAUGUGUACCAGGUCAAUUAACUUUUUAAUUUAUUAAAUAAAUUUAUGGGUAUUUUCAUUUAAAUCAUGACAAAAAAAAAUUAAAAGCCCAUUUUAAACCAUGAAAAAUUAUCUUGUGUAAGGAAAGUUCUAUAAAUCAAACUAAACUAUGAGAACUUUUGUGGACGACAAUUUUUAAAAUGUGUUUAAAUUUUUUUUUAACUAAGAAAAACAUAUUUGGGUGUGUAUUUCGGUUUAAUUACGGAUUCGGUUUGGGUUAUGUUUGGCUUGAUUUAUUUGGGUGUAAGAAAUCUUGAACCAAAGCCAACCCAAAUUAGUUUGGUUUAUGUUCGGUUUGGUUCGGUAUAGUUUAUGUUCGAUUCGGUUUUAGUUUGGUUUGGUUUGUGUUUAAUUCGGUUUAAUUUGGUUUUGUUUGUGUUUUCAGUUCAACCGAGUUAACUUUUUUAGUUUUGUUCUAGUUCAAUUACAAAAAUA
This 498-nucleotide long non-coding RNA is filed under the name Brassica napus (rape). RNAcentral describes it as "long non-coding RNA (BNAP_LNC013863)". Lineage: Eukaryota; Viridiplantae; Streptophyta; Magnoliopsida; Brassicales; Brassicaceae. The record is from RNAcentral.